GUGAGACAGUUCGGUCCCUAUCUGCCGUGGGCGCUGGAGAACUGAGGGGGGCUGCUCCUAGUACGAGAGGACCGGAGUGGACGCAUCACUGGUGUUCGGGUUGUCAUGCCAAUGGCACUGCCCGGUAGCUAAAUGCGGAAGAGAUAAGUGCUGAAAGCAUCUAAGCACGAAACUUGCCCCGAGAUGAGUUCUCCCUGAGACUUAGAGUCUCCUGAAGGAACGUUGAAGACGACGACGUUGAUAGGCCGGGUGUGUAAGCGCAGCGAUGCGUUGAGCUAACCGGUACUAAUGAACCGUGAGGCUUAACCUUACAACGCCGAAG
This 322-nucleotide ribosomal RNA is filed under the name Salmonella enterica. RNAcentral describes it as "bacterial LSU rRNA". It matches the Rfam family "Bacterial large subunit ribosomal RNA", at positions 2621 to 2925 of the family's 2925-position model. Lineage: Bacteria; Pseudomonadati; Pseudomonadota; Gammaproteobacteria; Enterobacterales; Enterobacteriaceae. The record is from RNAcentral.